AGCGAACGCUGGCGGCAGGCCUAACACUUGCAAGUCGAACGGACCCUUCGGGGUUAGUGGCGGACGGGUGAGUAACACGUGGGAACGUGCCUUUAGGUUCGGAAUAGCUCCUGGAAACGGGUGGUAAUGCCGAAUGUGCCCUUCGGGGGAAAGAUUUAUCGCCUUUAGAGCGGCCCGCGUCUGAUUAGCUUGUUGGUGGGGUAAUGGCCCACCAAGGCUACGAUCAGUAGCUGGUCUGAGAGGAUGACCAGCCACAUUGGGACUGAGACACGGCCCAAACUCCUACGGGAGGCAGCAGUGGGGAAUCUUGCGCAAUGGGCGAAAGCCUGACGCAGCCAUGCCGCGUGUAUGAUGAAGGUCUUAGGAUUGUAAAAUACUUUCACCGGUGAAGAUAAUGACUGUAGCCGGAGAAGAAGCCCCGGCUAACUUCGUGCCAGCAGCCGCGGUAAUACGAAGGGGGCUAGCGUUGCUCGGAAUUACUGGGCGUAAAGGGAGCGUAGGCGGACAUUUAAGUCAGGGGGU
RNAcentral lists this ribosomal RNA (522 nucleotides) under uncultured bacterium. RNAcentral describes it as "bacterial SSU rRNA". It matches the Rfam family "Bacterial small subunit ribosomal RNA", at positions 28 to 596 of the family's 1533-position model. The record is from RNAcentral.